UGCAGUCGAACGGCAGCACGGAGCUUGCUCUGGUGGCGAGUGGCGAACGGGUGAGUAAUAUAUCGGAACGUACCCUGGAGUGGGGGAUAACGUAGCGAAAGUUACGCUAAUACCGCAUACGAUCUACGGAUGAAAGUGGGGGAUCGCAAGACCUCAUGCUCGUGGAGCGGCCGAUAUCUGAUUAGCUAGUUGGUAGGGUAAAAGCCUACCAAGGCAUCGAUCAGUAGCUGGUCUGAGAGGACGUCCAGCCACACUGGAACUGAGACACGGUCCAGACUCCUACGGGAGGCAGCAGUGGGGAAUUUUGGACAAUGGGCGAAAGCCUGAUCCAGCAAUGCCGCGUGAGUGAAGAAGGCCUUCGGGUUGUAAAGCUCUUUUGUCAGGGAAGAAACGGUGAGGGCUAAUAUCCCUUGCUAAUGACGGUACCUGAAGAAUAAGCACCGGCUAACUACGUGCCAGCAGCCGCGGUAAUACGUAGGGUGCAAGCGUUAAUCGGAAUUACUGGGCGUAAAGCGUGCGCAGGCGGUUUUGUAAGUCUGAUGUGAAAUCCCCGGGCUCAACCUGGGAAUUGCAUUGGAGACUGCAAGGCUAGAAUCUGGCAGAGGGGGUAGAAUUCCACGUGUAGCAGUGAAAUGCGUAGAUAUGUGGAGGAACACCGAUGGCGAAGCAGCCCCCUGGGUCAAGAUGACGCUCAUGCACGAAAGCGUGGGGAGCAAACA
Molecule: ribosomal RNA, 719 nt
Filed under: uncultured Janthinobacterium sp.
Lineage: Bacteria; Pseudomonadati; Pseudomonadota; Betaproteobacteria; Burkholderiales; Oxalobacteraceae
Description: bacterial SSU rRNA
Rfam family: Bacterial small subunit ribosomal RNA
Source: RNAcentral